Molecule: ribosomal RNA, 274 nt
Filed under: uncultured bacterium
Lineage: Bacteria
Description: partial 16S ribosomal RNA
Rfam family: Bacterial small subunit ribosomal RNA
Source: RNAcentral
AUACGGAGGGUGCAAGCGUUACUCGGAAUCACUGGGCGUAAAGCGCGCGCAGGCGGCUAUUUAAGUUGGAUGUGAAAGCCUACGGCUCAACCGUAGAACUGCACCCAAAACUAUUUAGCUAGAGUGUGGGAGAGGAAGAUGGAAUUAGUUGUGUAGGGGUAAAAUCCGUAGAGAUAACUAGGAAUACCAAAAGCGAAGGCAAUCUUCUGGAACACUACUGACGCUGAGGCGCGAAAGCGUGGGGAGCAAACAGGAUUAGAAACCCUAGUAGUCC